This 645-nucleotide ribosomal RNA is filed under the name Trichoderma harzianum. RNAcentral's name for it is "eukaryotic LSU rRNA". The stretch from base 258 to 411 matches the Rfam family "5.8S ribosomal RNA". The record is from RNAcentral. RNAcentral also lists the same sequence under 1 other name. Lineage: Eukaryota; Fungi; Ascomycota; Sordariomycetes; Hypocreales; Hypocreaceae.
UGGAAGUAAAAGUCGUAACAAGGUCUCCGUUGGUGAACCAGCGGAGGGAUCAUUACCGAGUUUACAACUCCCAAACCCAAUGUGAACGUUACCAAACUGUUGCCUCGGCGGGAUCUCUGCCCCGGGUGCGUCGCAGCCCCGGACCAAGGCGCCCGCCGGAGGACCAACCAAAACUCUUAUUGUAUACCCCCUCGCGGGUUUUUUUUAUAAUCUGAGCCUUCUCGGCGCCUCUCGUAGGCGUUUCGAAAAUGAAUCAAAACUUUCAACAACGGAUCUCUUGGUUCUGGCAUCGAUGAAGAACGCAGCGAAAUGCGAUAAGUAAUGUGAAUUGCAGAAUUCAGUGAAUCAUCGAAUCUUUGAACGCACAUUGCGCCCGCCAGUAUUCUGGCGGGCAUGCCUGUCCGAGCGUCAUUUCAACCCUCGAACCCCUCCGGGGGGUCGGCGUUGGGGAUCGGCCCUGCCUUGGCGGUGGCCGUCUCCGAAAUACAGUGGCGGUCUCGCCGCAGCCUCUCCUGCGCAGUAGUUUGCACACUCGCAUCGGGAGCGCGGCGCGUCCACAGCCGUUAAACACCCAACUUCUGAAAUGUUGACCUCGGAUCAGGUAGGAAUACCCGGCUGAACUUAAGCAUAUCAAUAAGCGGAGGA